AGUCUUCUCCAUGGCCAGCUGAGUACAGGUCUGGGCACACGGUGCCGGGAAGCCUGGUCAGACAGAAUAGAAUGGGGCAGAGACAGCCAGAUGAAUCCUGUAGGAGCAUCAGCCACCAUAUAAAGAAGUCCAGGCUAUCCUGCCCAGAGACCACACAGAGGAGAACCAAGGCACCUCUGCUGACAACCAGCACCAACUGCCAGCCAUGUGAAUGAGCCUGUUUGGAAGAGGACCCUCCAGCCCCAAUCAAGCCUUGAGAUGAUGCAGCCCUGACCAAUAUACCUGCAACCCACGAAGGACCCCAGGCCUGGACCACCCAGCUAAGCUGCUCCUGGAUUCCUGACCCUCAGAAACUGCGAUAUAAUAAAUGUCUGUUUUAGACCACUUAAGUUUAGAGGUAAUUUGUUAUGCAGCAAUGGAUAACUGAUACACUUGGCCAGUCUCAUUGUCUGGAAUCUCAGCAUCAGAACUUCACCUAUGGGCAGGUUAAGUCACUGUCUUCUCCGUGUCUCUCCCCAGCCCUGAGAUAAAUAAGAACUGGCUAAUGCUGAUUUGCUGAGUCAGAUCAUGGGUAGAAGACACCUCUGAUUUGGUUAGGUGAUGUCAUUCUGGGAAUGGUAUGUGGCCACUUAAUCAUUCUGAACACCCACAGGCCAGGGGUGGUUAACAAAGAGCAGUUUUGACAGAGUUGUGUGACUUCACAGCUUUCCUAUAGUCAGCUUCUAGAAAAGGCACCCCCUGCUUAAGGGGCAGGGCUGUCUUGAGGAUGAGGGCUUGAGGAGAGCUGGGCUCUGACUGGAGUAGGGCCCAGGUUCCACAGAUCCUGUCUU
This 830-nucleotide long non-coding RNA is filed under the name Equus caballus (horse). Its description in RNAcentral is "lncRNA (ENSECAG00000057934.1)". Lineage: Eukaryota; Metazoa; Chordata; Mammalia; Perissodactyla; Equidae. The record is from RNAcentral.